AGGGAUUGCCUUAGUAGCGGCGAGUGAAGCGGCAAAAGCUCAAAUUUGAAAUCUGGCACUUUCAGUGUCCGAGUUGUAAUUUGAAGAAGGUAUCUUUGGGUCUGGCUCUUGUCUAUGUUUCUUGGAACAGAACGUCACAGAGGGUGAGAAUCCCGUGCGAUGAGAUGUCCCAGACCUAUGUAAAGUUCCUUCGAAGAGUCGAGUUGUUUGGGAAUGCAGCUCUAAGUGGGUGGUAAAUUCCAUCUAAAGCUAAAUAUUGGCGAGAGACCGAUAGCGAACAAGUACAGUGAUGGAAAGAUGAAAAGAACUUUGAAAAGAGAGUGAAAAAGUACGUGAAAUUGUUGAAAGGGAAGGGCUUGAGAUCAGACUUGGUAUUUUGUAUGUUACUCUCUCGGGGGUGGCCUCUAMAGUUUACCGGGCCAGCAUCAGUUUGAGCGGUAGGAUAAGUGCAAAGAAAUGUGGCACUGCUUCGGUAGUGUGUUAUAGUCUUUGUCGAUACUGCCAGCUUAGACUGAGGACUGCGGCUUCGGCCUAGGAUGUUGGCAUAAUGAUC
RNAcentral lists this ribosomal RNA (553 nucleotides) under Lodderomyces parapsilosis. Its description in RNAcentral is "eukaryotic LSU rRNA". It matches the Rfam family "Eukaryotic large subunit ribosomal RNA", at positions 70 to 639 of the family's 3401-position model. The record is from RNAcentral. Lineage: Eukaryota; Fungi; Ascomycota; Pichiomycetes; Serinales; Debaryomycetaceae.